This 254-nucleotide ribosomal RNA is filed under the name uncultured bacterium. Its description in RNAcentral is "partial 16S ribosomal RNA". It matches the Rfam family "Bacterial small subunit ribosomal RNA", at positions 524 to 776 of the family's 1533-position model. The record is from RNAcentral.
UACGUAGGGGCCUAGCGUUGUCCGGAUUUAUUGGGCGUAAAGAGCUCGUAGGCGGUUCGGCAAGUCAUGUGUGAAAUCUCCACGCUCAACGUGGAGGGGCCACCUGAUACUGCCGUGACUCGAGUCCGGUAGGGGAGUGUGGAAUUCCCGGUGUAGCGGUGAAAUGCGCAGAUAUCAGGAGGAACACCGGUGGCGAAGGCGGUGGUCUGGGCCGGCACUGACGCUGAGGAGCGAAAGCGUGGGGAGCGAACAGG